UCCCCUCAUGUCAUGGGAGGGACCCAGUGGGGGGUAAUUUAAUCAUGGGGGCAGUUACACUCAUGCUGUUCUCAUGAUAGUGAGUAAGUUAUCACGAGCUCUGAUGGCUUUAUAAGGGGCUUUCACCCUUUUGCUUGGCACUUCUCCUCGCUGCCAGCAUGUGAAGAAGGAUGUGUUUGCUUCCCCUUCCACCAUGAUUAGCGUGCUGGCCCUUCUCAAAGUGUCCCAUGAAAAAGUUAUUCCACACCUCCUCCCUGACCUUGUCGUGCAGACGCUUCCAGGAUGAACUCCAACUCGCCGAGCCACCGCAGCUCCUCAGCUGACUAAAAGAGUUAAUGAUCCUCCAGGUUAAAACUCCUCCUUGAGCACACACCUUCUCUCAACAAAUGACAAUACUUGGCAAACUGAACUCCUCCCACGAGUCGCCCUCUGCUAGGAGGAAUUGCUGGCUGCUCCCUGCUUAUUGCAUUCUCUCAGAGCAGCUGUCUCAAAGGAGGCUGCUCCCAUGCCGAUCUUUUUGUGCCCAACUUACAGGGAAAGAACUCAUUGCCUGCCCAGUGCCUGCCAGCCUCAGACUUCUGACUGCAAAUCCAACAGGACAAUACAGAGUUGGCAGGACCCUUCUCAGGAGUGAGGAGCGGGUGCAAGAACUCCCAGGUCACUGCUUUAUUCAGAGGACCUAAGGAAUUGGGUUGAGCGGAAGCGCACAGAGCUGCAGAUUUUCUUUGAUGAAUGAAAGCUUCAAUCCACAGGUUUCUAAUAGUACUCUCAUUCAUUUUGCUUACAAAAGGUACAGAUUAUCACUAAUCCUCUUCAAAAGGUAUUUGUAAUCACAUUUCCUUGUAUAUGCAAAAAAAAUUCUAUUUAAAGUGUAUGUGAAAUUAAGUUUACUUUUUUGAAACACAUGUAGAAAAAGAACAAAGGUAUCAUCAAACUAGUCUAUGUAGUCUCCUUUCACUAAAAUAUUGAUGGUUCAACACUUAAGGAAGUCUAGAAAUAA
Molecule: long non-coding RNA, 1000 nt
Filed under: Homo sapiens (human)
Lineage: Eukaryota; Metazoa; Chordata; Mammalia; Primates; Hominidae
Description: HSALNT0317137
Source: RNAcentral